RNAcentral lists this ribosomal RNA (506 nucleotides) under uncultured bacterium. Its description in RNAcentral is "partial 16S ribosomal RNA". It matches the Rfam family "Bacterial small subunit ribosomal RNA", at positions 29 to 523 of the family's 1533-position model. The record is from RNAcentral.
AGUGAACGCUGGCGGUAGGCCUAACACAUGCAAGUCGAACGGCAGCACAGGAGAGCUUGCUCUCUGGGUGGCGAGUGGCGGACGGGUGAGGAAUACAUCGGAAUCUACUUUUUCGUGGGGGAUAACGUAGGGAAACUUACGCUAAUACCGCAUACGACCUACGGGUGAAAGCAGGGGACCUUCGGGCCUUGCGCGAUUGAAUGAGCCGAUGUCGGAUUAGCUAGUUGGCGGGGUAAAGGCCCACCAAGGCGACGAUCCGUAGCUGGUCUGAGAGGAUGAUCAGCCACACUGGAAUUGAGACACGGGCCAGACUCCUACGGGAGGCAGCAGUGGGGAAUAUUGGACAAUGGGCGCAAGCCUGAUCCAGCCAUACCGCGUGGGUGAAGAAGGCCUUCGGGUUGUAAAGCCCUUUUGUUGGGAAAGAAAUCCAUCUGGUUAAUACCCGGGUGGGAUGACGGUACCCAAAGAAUAAGCACCGGCUAACUUCGUGCCAGCCGCCGCAGUAA